RNAcentral lists this ribosomal RNA (302 nucleotides) under uncultured bacterium. RNAcentral's name for it is "partial 16S ribosomal RNA". The stretch from base 187 to 302 matches the Rfam family "Bacterial large subunit ribosomal RNA", at positions 1 to 116 of the family's 2925-position model. The record is from RNAcentral.
GAGAAGGGACACGGCCGGAGAGAAAGAGGUCCGGCGGAGAAGGAAGUCAGCCCUGGAGACAGGGAAGAAGGACUUCGAUCAUUGACAACUGAAUCGGCAGAAAUACAAGAAGAGGGCAACGCAGGACCGGGGGAACCCGGAGAAUGCGAGUCAACAAGCUUUUUGGAGCAAGGGCGAAGAGUAAGCGUUCAAGUGACAAAGGGCAGACGGGGAAUGCCUAGGCAGCAGAAGGCGAAGAAGGACGUGGCGAGCUGCGAAAAGCUUCGGGGAGCCGCUCACAGGCGUUGAUCCGGAGGAAUCCG